GCGCGAAAACUUUACAAUGCGGGAAACCGUGAUAAGGGAACUCCGAGUGUCCGUAAAUGCGGACUGUCCGUAUGUCUAAAAAGCAUGCGAAGAAAGGGCCGGGCAAGACCGGUGCCAGCCGCCGCGGUAAUACCGGCGGCUCGAGUGGUGGCCACUAUUACUGGGCUUAAAGCGUUCGUAGCUGGGUUGUUAAGUCUUUUGGGAAAUCUACCGGCUUAACCGAUAGGCGUCCAAGGGAUACUGGCAAUCUAGGGACCGGGAGAGGUGAGGGGUACUUCAGGGGUAGGAGUGAAAUCCUGUAAUCCUUGGGGGACCACCUGUGGCGAAGGCGCCUCACCAGAACGGCUCCGACAGUGAGGGACGAAAGCUGGGGGAGCAAACCGG
This 384-nucleotide ribosomal RNA is filed under the name uncultured prokaryote. Its description in RNAcentral is "bacterial SSU rRNA". It matches the Rfam family "Archaeal small subunit ribosomal RNA", at positions 339 to 727 of the family's 1478-position model. RNAcentral also lists the same sequence under 1 other name. The record is from RNAcentral.